AUGCACUAUGAACAUGAAAAAGAAAAAAGACAAAAUGCAAAAAACGGGAUAGAACAUGAUGGGGCAAAAUAUAAUAGCGAAAGGAAUGAACAAAGCGAAAAAAACGAAAAAAACGGAAAAAACGAAAAAAACGAACAAAACGAACAAAACAAAAAAAACGAAAAAAACGAAAAAAACGAAAAAAAUGAAAAAAACGAAAAAAACGAAAAGGAAUUAACCAAUUUUUACGACAAUAGAAACAUUUUUACGGCUAAGCGAUGUUAUAAAAAUUCAGAAAAACAAACAGCAACAAAAGGUGUAUCAAACAAAGUAGAAAGUAAUAAUAACAUGAAUAUAAAUGCUAAUAAUAGUACACAGGAAAGUAGUACUAACUUAGACAAACAAGUGGAUGAAAAUUGUGAUAACUCUGAAACGGAAAGCUGUAUAAGCGAAGCGUAUAAUAGCUCGUCGAUUUAUACGAACAGUGUCUGUGAAGAUGAUUAUAUUAUAAUAGAUAACGAAUUAGCGACAGAAGAAGAACAAGAAGAAGAACAAGAAAAACAUAACUAUAAUAAUAACAAAACGGAAAGAUGUACUUUAUCCAUUGACAAUUAUUCAACAUACAAAAGUGAAACCAAUAAAGCAACAAUUAAACAAAUGAAUUAUCAAAACAUGUUUAAUUAUACCAAAAAUUGGACAAAAAUAAAAGAGUUAAACCACUUUUUAAAAACAGAAAAAAAGUUACUAUACAUAAAAAAAAAAACAUUCAAAAAUAAUAUAUGUGAUAUAUAUUUAAAUCAUAUUGAUGAACAAGAUGAAAUGCUUAAGGAUAGCAACCUAGAAAUAAAUUAUGAUUAUCAAGAUGAUACAAAUUAUGAAAGUAAAUGUACUGAUGAUAAUAAAAACAAGUCAGAAAAUUGCAUAGAUUAUUACAUUGACGAUAUAAUGGAACUAAGUAAAUGCAAAAAUAGUGUUUACAAAAAUAUUAUUUCAAAUAUAUUAACAAAUAAAACAAAAUGGAAUGAUUAUUUAAAUAGUGGAAUUAUUAAUUAUAGUCAACAAAAAAAUUCGGAUAUGCAACAUAUAGAUAUACCACUAGCCAAACUAAACAAAGAGGCUUUUUAUUUUUAUAAAAUAGUAAUAGAUAAACUUUUAAAAAAGUCAAAUCUGGAGGAUACUAUAAAUAGAUACAUAUUUUUUAAACUAAAAAAUCGUAUUUACGUCGAUCAAAUUGUCAUAUAUCAUAAUUUUUACGUCUUUAUAAAUGCUAUCCUUGGAGUAGAAACUGGCCCCGCAGUUGCGGAUUCGGUUGUGGAUUCGGUUGCGGAUUCGGUUGUGGAUUCGGUUGUGGAUUCAGUUGUGAAUUCAGCUAAAGAUAUAACUAAAAGUGAAACCACAAACGAAACCACAAACGAAACCACAAACGAAACCACAAACGCAACCACAAACGAAAGCACAAACGAAACCACAAACGAAAGCACAAACGAAAGCACAAACGAAAGCACAAACGAAACCACAAACACAAAAGCCACGCAAUGCUAUAUGCUCGGAGACAUUACAAAUCAUAACUAUUUUAAAAAUAUAUUAAAAAAACCAAAUGAAAAAGUUAUUAUUAUGUUAAAUCAUAAUAUAUAUAGCAUAAUUUUAUUAAAAACUUUAUUACAACAUAAUAAUGUUGUUUUAUUGGAUAUGGAACAUAUAAAUAACAAUCGACAAAUAAAAGAAAAGAGUAUAGUAAUAGUUGAUAUAAAAACUAAUACAGAUAUAUGUUAUAUUUUAGAAGAGUUUAUUAACAACAAUGCUGCAAAAAUAUAUUUAUUUUUUUAUAUGAAUAUUAAUAAUAUAACAGCUAAUAUACUAAAAAAAAGUACUAUUAUAAAUUUUGAUUUUAGUUCUAACCCCAUAGAAUAUUUUACAUUUUUACAUUUUAUAUUAAAUUUAAAUAUAAUAAUAAAUAAAAAAUAUAUUAAUAUUUAUGACCAAAAUAAUAUUUAUUGUAAACAAUUUUUUUUUGCUAUGUUUUUUUUUGUACUUCUCAACAACCAAAAUCAAAAUGAAAACAUCUCUUUUAAUUAUGACAUUAUUAAUGAAUUGUUUAUUUUAUUAGAUGUUUUUUGUAACCUAAAUAUGUUAAAGGAUGUACAAAAAGAUAGACAAGAGGACGAAGAAUAUGACACACAAAAAAACGCCAAAGCUAAUGUAACCGAUAAUGAAAAAAAAUGCAAGGAAUUUUUUUUACAGUAUAUACAGAAAUUAAUCGAAUCUACACUCAAUUGUAAUCUUAUUUUACAAAAACAUAUGUUGUUAUCAUUUUUAUUUCAAUUUUUUUAUUUUAAAACUAACAAAAAUUUGUUAUCUGACAUAAAUCACAUUUUACAAAUACCACCUACCAAUGUAACUAUUAAUUAUUUGAUUAAACAUAUACAAACUAACUUCAAGUUAUUAAAUAACAUACAACAACAAAAUAAAAUGAUCCAUUUAUUAAAAAAUGCUUACCAAAUAAAAAUACUAAACAAAUGCUUUAUUAAUAAACAACUUAUUUUAAAUAAAUAUGAAAAAUUAAACAUAUUCAAAACAAUAUUGUUAUUUUUUGAAGAGUUUUCUUGGUUUAGUUUGAUUAAGCCCUUUGUCAACGCUACGGCAAAAUGUAUGUAUUUGAAAACAUGA
Long non-coding RNA from Piliocolobus tephrosceles (Ugandan red Colobus), 2646 nucleotides. The record is from Ensembl. Lineage: Eukaryota; Metazoa; Chordata; Mammalia; Primates; Cercopithecidae.